AGUUUUGAAGUUCGGUUUCUUUUUUAUUUUUGCUAUUAGUUUUUGAGUAUUAUGUUGGAUAUUUUUGAGUCAAAAAAGUGACCAAAAAUCAUUUUGAAAUUUUGCCGAAUUUUUUAGAGGAAAAGGUCAUAAAUAAAGCCAGAAGUCUGCCAUAAUUAAGAUUACAACUGCUAAGGACCUAAGGUAAGUAGAUAUUAUGGAUUCAUUAGCCUACGUAAGUUUGGACUAUUUU
This 232-nucleotide long non-coding RNA is filed under the name Carica papaya (papaya). RNAcentral describes it as "long non-coding RNA (CPAP_LNC003043)". The record is from RNAcentral. Lineage: Eukaryota; Viridiplantae; Streptophyta; Magnoliopsida; Brassicales; Caricaceae.